GGUGCCUUCGGGAACUCUGACACAGGUGCUGCAUGGCUGUCGUCAGCUCGUGUCGUGAGAUGGUUGGGUUAACGUCCCGUAACGAGCGCAACCCUUGUCCUUAGUUACCAGCACGUUAUGGUGGGCACUCGUAAGGAGACUGCCGGUGACAAACCGGAGGAAGGUGGGGAUGACGUCAAGUCAUCAUGGCCCUUACGGCCUGGGCUACACACGUGCUACAAUGGUCGGUACAAAGGGUUGCCAAGCCGCGAGGUGGAGCUAAUCCCAUAAAACCGAAUCGUAGUCCGGAUCGCAGUCUGCAACUCGACUGCGUGAAGUCGGAAUCGCUAGUAAUCGCAGAUCAGCCAAGCUGCGGUGAAUACGUUCCCGGGCCUU
RNAcentral lists this ribosomal RNA (375 nucleotides) under uncultured Pseudomonas sp. RNAcentral describes it as "bacterial SSU rRNA". It matches the Rfam family "Bacterial small subunit ribosomal RNA", at positions 1013 to 1382 of the family's 1533-position model. Lineage: Bacteria; Pseudomonadati; Pseudomonadota; Gammaproteobacteria; Pseudomonadales; Pseudomonadaceae. The record is from RNAcentral.